CUAACAUGUAUGCGAGUAUUAGGGUGAAAAACCCUUUAUUAAUGCAAAAUGAAAGUGACUGAUGGGAACCUCCCUGUGAAAGGGGGGUGCACCGUUGACCGGUCUUUCUUAGGAUGGAUUUGAGUAAGAGCACACAUGAUGGGACCCGAAAGAUGUUGUGAUCUUUGCUUGCACAUGGCGAAGCCAGAGGAAACUCUGGUGGAGGCUCGUAGCGAUUCUGACGUGCAAAUCGAUCGUCUGAUGUGAGUAAAGGGGCGAAAGACUCAUCGAACCAUCUAGUAGCUGGUUCACACCGAAAUUUCCCUCAGGAUAGCUGCAACUUGUAAACAGUUUUAUCGGGUAAAGCGAAUGAUUAGAGGCCUUGGGGGUAGAAACUACCUUAACCUAUUCUCAAACUUUAAUAGGUAAGAAAUGAAUGUUGCUUUAGUGAACAUUCAUAUAGAAUGGUGAGUUGCAAGUGGGCCGUUUUUGGUAAGUCAGAACUGGCGAUUUGGGAUGAACCAAACGCAGAGUU
This 514-nucleotide ribosomal RNA is filed under the name uncultured eukaryote. Its description in RNAcentral is "eukaryotic LSU rRNA". It matches the Rfam family "Eukaryotic large subunit ribosomal RNA", at positions 675 to 1181 of the family's 3401-position model. The record is from RNAcentral.